AGAAAUAACUAAGGGCGUAUGGUGGAUGCCUAGGCUCUCACAGGCGAUGAAGGACGCGAUAAGCUGCGAUAAUCUGUGUUUAGGUGCAAAUAACCUUUGAGACACAGGUUUCCGAAUGGGGCAACCCGGUACACUGAAGGUGUACCAUACCGUAAGGUAAGCAAACGCAGGGAACUGAAACAUCUUAUUACCUGCAGGAGAAGAAAACAAAUGAGUGAUUCCCCUGGUAGCGGCGAGCGACCGGGGAACAGCCCAAACCCACUCUGUUUCGGCAUAUUGGGGGUUGUAGGACUGCGACAUAGGAGAAGUAAAUGAAAUGGAAUGCUUUGGAAAAAGCCAUCACAGAGGGUGAUAAUCCCGUACAUGCAAAUUUACGAUUCUUAGCAGCAUCCUGAGUAAGGCGGGACACGUGAAAUCCUGUCUGAAUCCGCCGGGUCCAUCCGGCAAGGCUAAAUACUCGUGAGAGACCGAUAGUGAACCAGUACUGUGAAGGAAAGGUGAAAAGCACCCCAAAUAGGGGAGUGAAAUAGUUCCUGAAACCGUACGCCUACAAGCAGUCGGAGCCCUUCUUGGGGUGACGGCAUGCCUUUUGCAUAAUGAGCCUACGAGUUACUCAUCACUGGCGAGGUUAAGUACUUCAAGGUACGUCAGCCGAAGCGAAAGCGAAUCUGAACAGGGUGUUUAGUCAGUGGUGGUAGACGCGAAACCUUAGUGAUCUACCCAUGUGCAGGUUGAAGGUUUGGUAACACAAACUGGAGGACCGAACCGAUAAGCGUUGAAAAGCUUCCGGAUGACAUGUGGGUAGGGGUGAAAGGCCAAUCAAACUGGGAAAUAGCUCGUACUCUCCGAAAUGCUUUAGGUGCAGCCUCUGUUUUAGUGUAUAAGAGGUAGAGCUACUGAUUGGAUGCGAGGGCUUCACCGCCUAUCAAAUCCGGCCAAACUCCGAAUGCUUAUACAUGUUUACAGGGAGUGAGCCCACGGGUGCUAAGGUCCGUGGACGAAAGAGGAAGAACUCAGCCCAUCAGCUAAGGUCCCCAAUUGUAUCCUGAGUUGACAACGGAACGCGGUGUAACUGCCUUGACAGCUGGUAUGUUGGCUUGGAAGCAGCCAUUCAUUUAACGAGUGCGUAACAGCUCACCAGUCGAGUGGUUCUGCAUGGAUAAUACUCGGGCAUAAGGAUACAACCGAAGCUAUGGACUCAUGAUUAAUUUCAUGAGUGGUAGGAGAGCAUUCCAUUGCAGCGUCGAAGCCAUAUCGUGAGAUAUAGUGGAGCGGAUGGAAAAGCAAAUGUAGGCAUAAGUAACGAUAAUGCGGGUGAGAACCCCGCACGCCGAAAGGUCAAGGAUUCCCCGGCAAUGUCAUUCAUCCGGGGGUUAGUCGGGUUCUAAGGUGUAGCCGAUGGGCGAAGCCGAUGACCAACAGGUUAAUAUUCCUGUACUCAAUUAUACUGCGAUGCAGCGACGAAGCGGUGAUAAUGCUGCGCACUGACGGAAUAGUGCGUUGAAGCCCGUACCCCUUGAGGUUGGUAGUCAAGUACGCCAUCCGAGGCGAAAGGCGAUAGUACCCCAAAGCUCCGGCUGCGGGGAUAAUGCAUGUAAUCUUACUUCCAAGAAAACCUGCUCAGCUUCAGGUAUAAUUGACCCGUACUGUAAACGGACACACGUGACCGCGUAGAGUAUACUAAGGCGCACGAGCUAUUCAUGGCCAAGGAACUAGGCAAAAUAGACCUGUAACUUCGGGAUAAAGGUCGCUCACGUGAGUGAGCUGCAAUAAAUAGGCCCAGGCGACUGUUUAUCAAAAACACAUGGCUAUGCUAAAUCGCAAGAUGACGUAUAUGGCCUGACACCUGCCCGGUGCCGGAAGGUUAAGAGGAGAGCUUAGGAUUAAUCCGACGGUUUGAAUUGAAGCCCCGGUAAACGGCGGCCGUAACUAUAACGGUCCUAAGGUAGCGAAAUUCCUUGUCGGGUAAGUUCCGACCUGCACGAAUUCUGGGCACUGUCUCAGCCAUGAACUCGGUGAAAUUGUAUUUCCGGUGAAGAUGCCGGAUACCCGCAACGGGACGGAAAGACCCCGUGAACCUUUACUGCAGCUUUGCAUUGAUUUUGGGUACCGGAUGUGUAGGAUAGGUCGGAGGCAAUGAAAUGGCGUCGUCAGGCGUUGUGGAGCCGCUGUUGAAAUACGACCCUUCUGUUAUCUGAGGUCUAAUCCCCCGUAUGGGGGAGACAUUGCAUGGUGGGUAGUUUGACUGGGGUGGUCGCCUCCAAAAGCGUAACGGAGGCUUCUCAAGGUACCCUCAUGGCGUUUGGUAACCGCCAGUAGAGUGCAAUGGCAUAAGGGUGCUUGACUGUGAGACCAACAAGUCGAUCAGGUUGGAAACAAGAGCAUAGUGAUCCGGCGGAUCCGUAUGGAAGGUCCGUCGCUCAAAGGAUAAAAGGUACUCCGGGGAUAACAGGCUGAUCGCUCCCAAGAGCUCAUAUCGACGGAGCGGUUUGGCACCUCGAU
This 2502-nucleotide ribosomal RNA is filed under the name termite gut metagenome. Its description in RNAcentral is "bacterial LSU rRNA". It matches the Rfam family "Bacterial large subunit ribosomal RNA", at positions 1 to 2530 of the family's 2925-position model. The record is from RNAcentral.